UUUAGGCAAUUUGAAAUGGACAUAACUUUUUGCUGAAUUACACUGAUAAUAAUUUUUUACUGCGGUAAACUAUUCUAUAAUGCACAGGUAAAAAAAGGUAAAAAGCAUGUGGACUUUGUCCAUAAAAAUGUGCUGGAAUUCAAUGUUGAAGGCAGUUGAGAAAAUGCAAACACAAACCUGUGCAUUCUAGCACUGGUCAGAAGUGUGGAAGUGCGUCUUGUGAGACAACUGCUGUUACUAAAACCCAAAAAAAAUGUAGGACCACUUGUCUCCAUUUUGGUGCUUGAUUCUUGAAUGUUUGCAGUGUGUCUUUUUGCCACGGGGUGUCCCUAAAAACCUACUGUGAGAUGUUGCAGUCUAUGUUUUUCUAGUCAAAAACUGUUUUGAUAGUUAGAACCAUUAUUUGCUGAAAAACGUAAAGUGUGCAGAGUAGUAGGUGGACAGAUAAAAAUGUCGUGGGUCUGUUUCUGAUAAGCUGAAGGAGUAAAUACACAUGCAACAAUAAAUGCCUUCCUAUUGUUGAAGAUAAAUCCAGCAAGAUAAUUAGAAAUAUUCUGACAAUGAGCAAAAAGUAUGAAUUUGUAAAUGCACACCAUUAUUUAUUUAUCUCUUCUGGAUUGGUUGUUUAAAAUUUUUUAUGUCCCAACUACUGUUGUGUAAAUCACAUGCCCGUAAAAUACACCAAAUAUUAUUUUCAUUUUUGAAAACAAUCCUGUGUAUGAAUUUAAUUUCUUUUUUGAUCAACAAAGCAUUGUUUGAUAUUAAAAAAGCAAUGCAACUGCUCUGCACAACAUUAACCAGAAUUGAGAUAUAAAAAAUAACUCUCCAUAUGUCCCUUAGAGGAUACCUUAGACAUACCAGAACAAAACCAUUUCACUCCUAAAAUGAAUUUUCAUGAAGAAUAAUUUUAUUAAAGUUGUGAAAACAUGAAAUGCCCUUUACACAUCUCUUUUGGAGAUAAACAUGACAAUACAGAAUCUCCACUUCCACCAUGCCAAAAUCUGAAAGUUAGUUUUACAAGAAAUCCAGGAUGGGGAAAGGGAAAAGAAAAAGGCUUGUUUCUCUAGCUCUCUUUCUGGAAAUUAAAAUCUUCCAAUUUCUUUUCUGGCUUUAGGUGGGGAUUGUAUUUCAGAGGUGUUACUCACUCCUAAUGUCUGAAAAUGCGAGCUGUAUCCAGGAGUGCUUAAUAGUGGCUGCUUGCCAAAAAACCCCGUUACUGACCCUGCACUGUCUCCAGAAUAUAAAACCUGUGCUAGUGGCUAGCAGGGAAGAGAGGACAUUUUGUCUAUUUCCUCUCCUUGACUUUGGGGCUACCUAAAGCAGCAUUUUACAAAGGCUGUUUAUAUCCUUGCCAUGAGCAGGCAAUAGGAGUCACAGGGUUCACAUGACCUCCUUACCCUUUUUGCAUCACUUUCUUGGAAGGCACCCGUCUGCUUGUCCCUGUCUGUGCUGUUCCAAGAAGAUGAUAUGUGCAACCAGAGGGGGUGGUUGCUGAUCCAGAAGUCUUGAAAAUAUUGAAAGAAUGUGAAGAACUUGAGUCAACAUGGAAAAUAAAUUAAUGUCAUGGCAGAAAUUCAGGGUAACUUCAAAGUUUUAACAGCUGAGAGAGAAAAAAUUCUGAGUCUUUAUGAACAGGCACAAGAGGAGAUUUCCCAGCUCUGUCAGGAAGCUAUAAAAUGACCCAGGACCCCUAAAAGCAUCACUCCUGUGACAGCUCAAGCUGUAUUAAGACACAUGGAGAUAGAAAGGAAUAAAGCACUGUCAGAUUGCCAAAGGGUGCCUACAGAACGGGAUGGCCUCAGGGAGCAGUUACAGUAAGGCACCACCUGGAGAACUGUGUCUAGCUCUGGGAUCUCCAACAUAAUGAUGACAUGGACCGGUUGGAGUAAGUCCAGAGGAGGCCAUGAAGAUGACCAGAAUGGGCUGGAGCACCUCUCCUACAAAGACAGGCUGAGAUGGUGGUGAGGCCCUGGAAAAGGUUGCCCGGAGAAGUUGUGGAUGCCCCAUCCCUGAAAGUGUUCAAGACCAGUCUGGAUGGAGCACUCAACAACCUGAUGUGAUGGAAGGUGUCCCUGUCCAUUGCAGGGGGCAUGGAACAAGAUGCUAUUUAAAGUCCCCUCCAACUAAAACCAUUCUGUGAUCCUGUGAUUUUAAGACUGUAUCAAACUUUGACAGUGUUUCCCGCAAUGAUCUUAUAUCCAGGUGAGGAUAGGCAUGUUUCACCUGGAGUAGAAGUGGCUUAAGAGGGACAUAAGUCCUACCUGCCAGUAGGUUUGACAUCAAGAAGUCAUUAACAGGCUUUUUACUGCCGUGCUUGGUGGAAAGACGAACAACAAUGGGCAUCCAUUGAAGCCAGAAGGGUUCAGGCUGAAUACAAGGCAAUACUUGCUUCUCAUGAGGGCAGUCGAGCAGUCCCCAGCCCUGGAGAUUUUCAAGACUGGCCUGAACAAAGCCCUGAGCAGCCUGACCUCAGAGCUGGCUCUGCUUUGAGCAGGGGUUUAGACUAGAGACCUGGAGUCCAUUCAAAUCUGAAUUAUCUUAUGACUGUGUAUUACUAAGAUCUGAUGCUUCAAAGCUAAACGUAAUUGCACUCUUCUAGCAAAUAGUUUUUAAUAUGGUUUAAGUUACUUGUGUGUACAAUUGAUUGCUAACAAUUUGCUAACAAACAGAAAAUGGAAACAUUAAGAUAAUGAAUAUAAAUCCUAAAUUUACUUACAGUCUUGGUAGAACUUGAUUUUUAAAUAAAUUAACCAUGCUUUCUGCAGUAUAUCUUUCUUCUAGAUCUUAAGGUUAUAAAUUCUAGUUUAUCUUCUUUUUCUGCCUCAGCUUUCUAAAGCUCCUACCAAGCUUAUAAAUAUAAUACCACAGUUUAUAAUAUUAAAUGGAGUGCAUCUGAUAUGAAGAAUACACUGUAGGCUGAAAUAGCUCUGAGUAGUAAAUUAACUUUAAUCACACGCCUACAUAUGACGUGUAGGGAGCCCUGUUUUAGGUACAUCAUCUUAUUUCUUCAGUUCUCUUGGUACCCUUUGAGAGCAAUACAUCAACAUGAAAUUUAUGGCACUAGUCUUGAAGAAGCUACUGUACAGCAGAGGCUUACUGACUUGCUCUUUAGAGGCCUGACCUUUGAUUAUAGUAACACAGAAAUUCGGACCGUACAGAAAUUAGUACUGAAAAAUUUGGUAAAGGAGGAGAGGCAUGGGGUGAGAAUUUUGUAUUUUUGUGAGAAUUUUUGUACUUUAAAAGAUGUAUUUCAAAUAAUUUAGAAAGGACAGUCCUUUAAACGUUAAGUGUAAGUAUUUUAAUAAAAAGAUAGGGGUUUCUUUAGACUGAAGAUUUCAGACCAGCUUUGCUGGAGUCUGUGCAAGAGGUUUUGGAUCUGUUCUUUGUUUUAGCUACAGACCUGAAGGCCUCAUGGUGGUAACUUGGUUACAUAGUGCAUUAUGCAAGUGUUUUACAGUGAUUUCUCUACCUGGUUAUUGGCAUAGGCACGUAACUUAAUAUAGGUCUAAAGCCAUUAUUGGUCAUGUUGUGUCCCAAACCAUGAUUUCUCCCUUCAUACACUCAUAAUAAUGUUUUCUUCUAUGUUAUUUUACUUUUAAUGUUGAUCAAUGACAAACAUAUUUGCCCUUGGGCAAUUUAUAUGAAUAAAUGAAAAUAUUCCCAGAGAUCUAAAAGAUGGGAAAUUGAUUUACCUUCAAAGGAUGUGAAAGUCACAUUUCAGGUGUUUGCCAACUAUCUUCAGGAAACUGAUAGUUGAGUAAAUGAGAUACUUGGACAUUUCUACUUCAGCAAAAGAUUUGUGCUAAAAACAGAGUAAAAAUUGAAAUAAAUUCUAUAAAUCAGCUAUUUUUUUUUGUUUGUUAGCUGUUAGUGUUUGAUUAUAUUUAUAGUUAGAUAGUGAACAGUUUGAACAGAUG
Molecule: long non-coding RNA, 3917 nt
Organism: Onychostruthus taczanowskii (white-rumped snowfinch)
Lineage: Eukaryota; Metazoa; Chordata; Aves; Passeriformes; Passeridae
Exons: 4
Source: RefSeq, a predicted model, not a curated record